This 635-nucleotide long non-coding RNA is filed under the name Penaeus japonicus. Its description in RNAcentral is "uncharacterized LOC122244879". The record is from RNAcentral. Lineage: Eukaryota; Metazoa; Arthropoda; Malacostraca; Decapoda; Penaeidae.
CUGCAUAGACGACAGUGGUCAAGCCCACGGUGUUGGCGAGACAUGGCAGGACCCUGACGACCCUUGUACGACCCACACUUGUCUCAGGGACGGGACGACCGCUACUGCGAGCUAUGGCUGCCUCGAUUGCUCAACCAACCCCUCCAGCUGCAUCUGGGCCCGUCCUGAGGGGGAAUGCUGCGGGGGCUGGAACUGCUCAAAUCCCUUCGCAGAUCUUGACAAAGCGGACGACCCGUAUUGUGUCUAUCCAGUGACACUCAGUUAAACGUACCACUAGGAAGGAAGCUACUGACAUUUCAUUUAACUUAUUUGAAGAGAUUAUCUAAGGCAACGAAAGAUUUCAGUUUGUGAGUUUAUUUGGUGGCUGUUGUCUUUGAUUGAGAAAAAUGAUAAGAAAUUGGACUUUUAUUGGCUCUCUUUAUGUGAUUUAAUAAGAUAUAUUUCUGUAUAUGAGUUUAUCUUAAUAUUUUGUUUAAGAAACUGAUGCAAUGUAAGAAAACAGAAGCAAAAUAUACUUCGUUAUAACUGUUCAUUUGCUUUAAGAUACCAGCUGAGUUAACGAUAGCAAAAUAAACUUCAUUUCAUUGAUGAAAUCUGUUUAAUGUAGUAAAACAAUAAAUAAUUCGACUUAAAUC